This is a long non-coding RNA of Lolium rigidum, 2566 nucleotides long. RefSeq lists it as uncharacterized. The transcript has 4 exons. The record is from RefSeq and is a predicted model, not a curated record. Lineage: Eukaryota; Viridiplantae; Streptophyta; Magnoliopsida; Poales; Poaceae.
GACACAUCACAUGCAUCCGUGUUGACGGGGAGGAGCGAACCCAUGGCGAUCCUGGCGAGCCGCACGGACAACGCGUGCGAUCCGUUCCCAUGAGCCACACCUUCAAUUUUCCACCGGGGACAGCCAUUGCAGAGUAAAGGAGGGGGAAGAGAUGGCGCUGGUGGCUCUGAGGUCGUGGGGGCGUUUCCAUGACCCCGGCCGAGCUCGCCCCUGCCGCGGGUGGCGACCCUGAUGUUGGCCGGCCUGCUUAUCCUUGUCGUGUGAUUUUGAUCUGGCUGGAGCGCGGUGCCCAACCUGCCUGUACUGGUGAAGGUCAGCGCUGGCGUGGCGCCGAUGACGACCACAAGCAUGAACAAGGCCGAGGCCCUUCACCAAGGAUAUGGCGAUGGAGAGGAAGGGCCGAUACGAAAUCAGUGUUUAGAGUGGUGGAUCUGCAUUUGUGCGCAGCCAUGAGUGGGUUCCAUGAACCUCCCUCUAGCUGAUUCCUGCAUGCUUAAUUAUAUAUUUCCUCAAUUUUAUGAUUAUGACGAUGGAUCCAAAGAGUCAUAGAGGAUGAAGUACAACAGGUACCUCUGAACUCAUCUUCAAAAGGUGCAUUCCUUAGCCUGUAUGUUCCAUCUCGAGACCAUUUUUCGAGGAAUGCCUCUGUAGAACAGUUAUAUUUGCAAGUUUAGCAGAGAUAUGAGACAUAACGAAUCGUUUAUCUUCUUUGCUCGAAUUGUUUUAAAUUCUGAUCUAGAGCUUAUUUACAGUUCACAUUUUGGAUGGCAGCCUGCCAUUAUUGGAUAUGGAUCACUGAGGCAAAGACAUUGUCAACCUUGUUGUGACCGCCUUGCCAUCCAACACGUGUCGUGGUUGUCACCAUCAACCACGGAGGGACUACUCAUGAUGCUGAAGUGCCCGAGCCUAUAAGUUUGGUGUUGUAGGUACUGAACCUGCACAUGCAGAUUAGUGGAAGUACAUGAUGUGCUCUCCCUGUUUUGCAUUUUUUAACUUGAUUUUCUCCAUCAAUUGCGAUCAGCGCAAUUGACUGAAUAGCAGCUCACUCUCUGAUCACUCGAUGCAUUGCCCUUUGCUAAUUGUUUGGUUCUUCACAACCUCACAUUGCAUAUUCAGUUGCAUUGGAAUGGUCAUUUUUUAUUCGAUUGCAGGAUAGGUGAAGAGCUCUUUGUGAUAGAGGAUAAGGAUGCAAUGCCAAAAUCCAUGCAUUUUCUUCAAAUCUUUGAACUGCAUUCCUGAAUAGUACUUACUAGCAUCAGAUAUAUUUUAUCCGAUCACUUGCAUAGAUGGAGUAGCAUAAAAAUAUUUGGCACUCACUUGUUGAACUUGGUCGAUCAAACUUUUGGAGCAGAAAGUUGAACUUGGCAAUCAUGAUGUGAAAUUUUUCGAUUUACUUCCGUGUGCCUCCUCAGUUUUGUAUUACUGGAAGUGUAAUAGAGUAAUUCAAAGUUUUCUAUAACUAGACAUCCUAUUAUUUCCUGCGACAAUGCUAAGUUUCAAUGCCAUUAAUACAUGUGUUCUCUAAAAUACCUGUAGUUUUGCCAAUCUACUGGGUUGUGUAAAUAGUUCAAUAGCCUUAAGAGCUUGCAAACUGUAGACAAGAAUAUCAAGCGAUGCCAAGGUGCAUAUCGCUCGUCAUUUCUUCCUAAGAAGGUAUGAUUUAUAAAUCAAAGAUUAUUGACAUUUCCGAUGAAGUAAUAUUGGUGAAGUACUUAUGGAAGUUGCUUUGUUGUGGCCUUAAGUUUUUAUUCAUUACUCAAUGUGCCUCCUGAAUGUAUGUGCAACUAAUUGACUAUUUUUAGUCCUCAGGUGAGAGCCUUCUACAAAAUUAAGUUUGAAGUGUAAGAUGACCGUGGUAGCCAGGAUCAAGUUCCAGGAAAAUGCCAGCAUGUUGGUGCGGGGGACCAUGGUCCUGGCGAAGGUGCGUGACAAUGUGCUCGUGACUGACUGCUGGGGGCAACAUGGUGGAUGGCGCGUAUCUUGGCAUCCGGUCCGCCCCCACCGGCAGCUGCAGUAUUUUUCUUGUUGUGAAGCUCAGGUGAGCUGCUUCCGUUUCGUCUUAUGAGCGAUCCUUAAGCUGUGUUCAGCUGUUUGUUUUGUCCAAGGUGCUCUAUUUUCUAUUCAGAAAUAGUACUUAUACUUUGAAUGAAAGUAUGUCAUAGCUUUAUCUCUAUUAAUCAUGCCAUUUUUACUGCAAGAUGAACAAUGGAAUGGAGUGGCAGGACCAACGACAUCAUAAAUUUCAGUAUUGGACCACAUGCUGGUUGCUUGGGCGUACUACAAAAAAAAGAUGACAGACCUGGAGUGUGAUGAGUACAAUGGAACAUAUACAACACAGCUGCAAGAGGGCUACUACCUACCAAUCUAGGUGUUGGUACUCCUUUUGACGUUCAACCACAGUUAUUGAAUCAAGAGCAUGACUGUUUUUUAGAUUUUCACUUAGAUUUUGAGUAUGGUUUACCUGAAUUUUGUCAAGUAUAAGGCAUAUUGGUUGCAACGCACCAGUAAGCCACAUGUAAUAUAUAUCUUCUGAAUUACUAGAACAUGAUAGCGCGCGUUGCGGCGC